This 487-nucleotide ribosomal RNA is filed under the name Bacillus amyloliquefaciens. RNAcentral describes it as "bacterial SSU rRNA". It matches the Rfam family "Bacterial small subunit ribosomal RNA", at positions 393 to 870 of the family's 1533-position model. Lineage: Bacteria; Bacillati; Bacillota; Bacilli; Caryophanales; Bacillaceae. The record is from RNAcentral.
CACGCCGCGUGAGUGAUGAAGGUUUUCGGAUCGUAAAGCUCUGUUGUUAGGGAAGAACAAGUGCCGUUCAAAUAGGGCGGCACCUUGACGGUACCUAACCAGAAAGCCACGGCUAACUACGUGCCAGCAGCCGCGGUAAUACGUAGGUGGCAAGCGUUGUCCGGAAUUAUUGGGCGUAAAGGGCUCGCAGGCGGUUUCUUAAGUCUGAUGUGAAAGCCCCCGGCUCAACCGGGGAGGGUCAUUGGAAACUGGGGAACUUGAGUGCAGAAGAGGAGAGUGGAAUUCCACGUGUAGCGGUGAAAUGCGUAGAGAUGUGGAGGAACACCAGUGGCGAAGGCGACUCUCUGGUCUGUAACUGACGCUGAGGAGCGAAAGCGUGGGGAGCGAACAGGAUUAGAUACCCUGGUAGUCCACGCCGUAAACGAUGAGUGCUAAGUGUUAGGGGGUUUCCGCCCCUUAGUGCUGCAGCUAACGCAUUAAGCACUCC